Long non-coding RNA from Neltuma alba, 496 nucleotides. RefSeq lists it as uncharacterized. The record is from RefSeq and is a predicted model, not a curated record. The transcript has 2 exons. NCBI's taxonomy places the organism in Eukaryota, Viridiplantae, Streptophyta, Magnoliopsida, Fabales, Fabaceae.
AGCCCGCCGUCGGACGCCUUUCGCCGUUGUCAGCCCUGCGUGGUUGUUCUCGGGCUGAAGAAGGGAGGAAAACAGGGAGGAGAGUAUUACCCUAUCCAAAGAGUUCAGGAAUUUUAGUCAGCAGGACGUUGGGUUACAUGGUACAUAUGGGUCAUCUGUGUGAAAUUUUGCUGAAGUUGAUGCUCCGGGUCUGUUAAUAUGGUUGGUAUGUUUGUUUCUCGAGAAAUAUGUCAGAGGAAAGGCAAAAUUGUGAAACCUUGUGGUAUCCUUUCUUUUCUCCGUCAUUUUAGCUUUUUUCCAUAGACUCCCCAGCUGCCCUUGUCCAGAGCUCUUUUUCUCAGAGCUUGCUCAAAAAUUCUUUAAAAAGGCCAAUGAUCUGGCUAUGGUUUGGGUUCAGUUCACUUGUACACAAUAAUCUCUUCAUUAAGCGGAGAGAAAAUAUUUCUUGCUGAGUUGGUGAAAUCGGUAUAAAAUUUUAGUAUAUAAAUUUCAUCUA